Molecule: ribosomal RNA, 534 nt
Filed under: Metschnikowia reukaufii
Lineage: Eukaryota; Fungi; Ascomycota; Pichiomycetes; Serinales; Metschnikowiaceae
Description: eukaryotic LSU rRNA
Rfam family: Eukaryotic large subunit ribosomal RNA
Source: RNAcentral
CCCGGCGAGUAGCGGACUGCGAUGCGGCGAGGUGGAAACCGGCACAGCUAAAAUCUGAGACCUCGGGGAACUGUAAUUUUGAUGGAACUAUUAUUCCCUGAGAGAGCCCAAAGUCCACCGGAAUACGGCGCCAUAGAGGGUGAUAGCCCCGUGUGGACCUCUCUCAGCAUACUUUUUAGGCCCAAAGAGUCGAGUUGUUUGGGAACGCAGCUCUAAGUGGGUGGUAAAUUCCAUCUAAAGCUAAAUAUCGGCGAGAGACCGAUAGCGAACAAGUACAGUGAUGGAAAGAUGAAAAGCACUUUGAAAAGAGAGUGAAAAAGUACGUGAAAUUGUUGAAAGGGAAGGGCUUGCAAGCAGACACAACCUCGGUUGGGCCAGCAUCGGGGCGGGGGGAAACAAAAAAGGUGUGGAAUGUGGCUCUUACGAGUGUUAUAGCCCCACCCAAUAUUUCCAUCCCAUCCCGAGGCCUGCGAUUCUUCAAGGAUGCUGGCGUAAUGGUUGCAAGUCGCCCGUCUCGAAAACUAACACAAGGUC